This 253-nucleotide ribosomal RNA is filed under the name uncultured bacterium. Its description in RNAcentral is "partial 16S ribosomal RNA". It matches the Rfam family "Bacterial small subunit ribosomal RNA", at positions 524 to 776 of the family's 1533-position model. The record is from RNAcentral.
UACGUAGGGUGCGAGCGUUGUCCGGAAUUAUUGGGCGUAAAGAGCUCGUAGGCGGUUUGUCGCGUCUGCUGUGAAAACCCGAGGCUCAACCUCGGGCCUGCAGUGGGUACGGGCAGACUAGAGUGCGGUAGGGGAGAUUGGAAUUCCUGGUGUAGCGGUGGAAUGCACAGAUAUCAGGAGGAACACCAAUGGCGAAGGCAGCAGACUGGGCGUUUCCUGACGCUGAGGCGCGAAAGCGUGGGUAGCAAACAGG